Molecule: ribosomal RNA, 253 nt
Filed under: uncultured bacterium
Lineage: Bacteria
Description: partial 16S ribosomal RNA
Rfam family: Bacterial small subunit ribosomal RNA
Source: RNAcentral
UACGGAGGGUGCAAGCGUUUUUCGGAAUCACUGGGCGUAAAGCGCGUGUAGGCGGUCUACUAAGUCUGAUGUGAAAGCCCGGGGCUCACCCUCGGAAGUGCAUUGGAAACUGGCAGACUGGAGUCCCGGAGAGGAGGGUGGAAUUCCUGGUGUAGCGGUGAAAUGCGUAGAUAUCAGGAGGACCGCCGGUGGCGAAGGCGGCCCUCUGGACGGUGACUGACGCUGAGGCGCGUAAGGGUGGGGAGCAAACAGG